ACACAUGCAAGUCGAACGGAGCACCCUUGAUUGAGGUUUCGGCCAAAUGAUAGGAAUGCUUAGUGGCGGACUGGUGAGUAACGCGUGAGGAACCUGCCUUUCAGAGGGGGACAACAGUUGGAAACGACUGCUAAUACCGCAUGACGCAUUUUGAUCGCAUGGUCGAAAUGCCAAAGAUUUAUCGCUGAAAGAUGGCCUCGCGUCUGAUUAGAUAGUUGGCGGGGUAACGGCCCACCAAGUCGACGAUCAGUAGCCGGACUGAGAGGUUGACCGGCCACAUUGGGACUGAGAUACGGCCCAGACUCCUACGGGAGGCAGCAGUGGGGAAUAUUGGGCAAUGGGCGCAAGCCUGACCCAGCAACGCCGCGUGAAGGAAGAAGGCUUUCGGGUUGUAAACUUCUUUUAAGUGGGAAGAGCAGAAGACGGUACCACUUGAAUAAGCCACGGCUAACUACGUGCCAGCAGCCGCGGUAAUACGUAGGUGGCAAGCGUUGUCCGGAUUUACUGGGUGUAAAGGGCGUGCAGCCGGGCAUGCAAGUCAGAUGUGAAAUCUCAGGGCUUAACCCUGAAACUGCAUUUGAAACUGUAUGUCUUGAGUGCCGGAGAGGUAAUCGGAAUUCCUUGUGUAGCGGUGAAAUGCGUAGAUAUAAGGAAGAACACCAGUGGCGAAGGCGGAUUACUGGACGGUAACUGACGGUGAGGCGCGAAAGCGUGGGGAGCGAACAGGAUUAGAUACCCUGGUAGUCCACGCUGUAAACGAUGGAUACUAGGUGUGCGGG
Molecule: ribosomal RNA, 779 nt
Filed under: uncultured bacterium
Lineage: Bacteria
Description: bacterial SSU rRNA
Rfam family: Bacterial small subunit ribosomal RNA
Source: RNAcentral